UACGUAGGGUGCGAGCGUUGUCCGGAAUUAUUGGGCGUAAAGAGCUUGUAGGCGGUUUGUCGCGUCUGCUGUGAAAAUCCGGGGCUCAACCCCGGACUUGCAGUGGGUACGGGGCAGACUAGAGUGUGGUAGGGGGAGACUGGAAUUCCUGGUGUAGCGGUGGAAUGCGCAGAUAUCAGGAGGAACACCGAUGGCGAAGGCAGGUCUCUGGGCCACUACUGACGCUGAGAAGCGAAAGCAUGGGGGAGCGAACAGG
Molecule: ribosomal RNA, 256 nt
Filed under: uncultured bacterium
Lineage: Bacteria
Description: partial 16S ribosomal RNA
Rfam family: Bacterial small subunit ribosomal RNA
Source: RNAcentral